This 434-nucleotide ribosomal RNA is filed under the name Pieris microstriata. RNAcentral's name for it is "partial 12S ribosomal RNA". The record is from RNAcentral. Lineage: Eukaryota; Metazoa; Arthropoda; Insecta; Lepidoptera; Pieridae.
AAAAAAUUAAAAUAAAUUACUAAAAUAGUAUAUAAUUAUUUAUUGAAACUUAAAUAAUUUGGCGGUAUUUUAGUUCAUUUAGAGGAAUCUGUCUAGUAAUUGAUAAUCCACGAAUAAUCAUAUUUAAUUUAUAAUUUUAUAUAUCGUUGUUAAAAAAAUAUUUUUAAAUAAAAAUAAUAUUUUAAAAUUUUAAUAGUAAAAUUAAUUCAGAUCAAGAUGUAGAUAAUAAUUAAAAUAUAAGAUGGAUUACAAUAUAAAUAUAUAAAUGGAUAUUAAUUUUGAAAUAAUUAGUUAAAAGUGGAUUUAAAUGUAAUUUUAAAUAAUUUUUUAAAAUGAUUAAUAAUUGAAAUAUGUACAUAUUGCCCGUCACUUUCAUUUAAAAAUUGAAAUAAGUCGUAACAAAGUAGGGGUACUGGAAAGUGUUCCUAGAAAGA